AGAGUUUGAUCAUGGCUCAGGACGAACGCUGGCGGCGUGCUUAACACAUGCAAGUCGAACGGACCUUGUUCGCGGAAGUUUUCGGAUGGAAGCUUAUAAGGUUAGUGGCGGACGGGUGAGUAACGCGUAGAUAAUCUACCUUAAAGACCGGGACAACAGUUGGAAACGACUGCUAAUACCGGAUGAGCUGUAAUUGGGGCAAUCCCGAUUACAGGAAAGGAGGCCUCUUAACAAUGCUCCCGCUUUAAGAUGAGUCUGCGUCUGAUUAGCUAGUUGGUGGGGUAACGGCCUACCAAGGCGACGGUCAGUAGUCGGCCUGAGAGGGUGACCGGCCACAUUGGGACUGAGACACGGCCCAAACUCCUACGGGAGGCAGCAGUGGGGAAUCUUCCGCAAUGGGCGCAAGCCUGACGGAGCAACGCCGCGUGAAUGAGGAAGGCCUUCGGGUCGUAAAGUUCUGUUGACAGGGACGAAUAAGUUGUGCGAAUAGUGCGAUGUAUGACGGUACCUGUUAAGAAAGCUCCGGCUAACUACGUGCCAGCAGCCGCGGUAAUACGUAGGGAGCAAGCGUUGUCCGGAAUUACUGGGCGUAAAGGGCGCGUAGGUGGGCGUUUAAGUCAGGUGUGAAAACUCUGGGCUUAACCUGGAGACUGCACUUGAAACUGGGCGUCUUGAGGGCAGGAGAGGAAAGUGGAAUUCCUAGUGUAGCGGUGAAAUGCGUAGAUAUUAGGAGGAACACCAGUGGCGAAGGCGACUUUCUGGACUGUGCCUGACGCUGAGGCGCGAAAGCGUGGGUAGCG
This 800-nucleotide ribosomal RNA is filed under the name uncultured bacterium. Its description in RNAcentral is "bacterial SSU rRNA". It matches the Rfam family "Bacterial small subunit ribosomal RNA", at positions 8 to 770 of the family's 1533-position model. The record is from RNAcentral.